GACGAACGCUGGCGGCGUGCUUAUCACAUGCAAGUCGUACGGAAAGGCCCUGCUUUUGUGGGGUGCUCGAGUGGCGAACGGGUGAGUAACACGUGAGUAACCUGCCCUUGACUUUGGGAUAACUUCAGGAAACUGGGGCUAAUACCGGAUAGGAGCUCCUGCUGCAUGGUGGGGGUUGGAAAGUUUCGGCGGUUGGGGAUGGACUCGCGGCUUAUCAGCUUGUUGGUGGGGUAGUGGCUUACCAAGGCUUUGACGGGUAGCCGGCCUGAGAGGGUGACCGGCCACAUUGGGACUGAGAUACGGCCCAGACUCCUACGGGAGGCAGCAGUGGGGAAUAUUGCACAAUGGGCGGAAGCCUGAUGCAGCAACGCCGAGUGCGGGAUGACGGCCUUCGGGUUGUAAACCGCUUUCGCCUGUGACGAAGCGUGAGUGACGGUAAUGGGUAAAGAAGCACCGGCUAACUACGUG
Molecule: ribosomal RNA, 468 nt
Filed under: uncultured bacterium
Lineage: Bacteria
Description: partial 16S ribosomal RNA
Rfam family: Bacterial small subunit ribosomal RNA
Source: RNAcentral